GGGCCGGAAAGGAACUUAACCCAUCGUUGCUGGGGGCUGUCGCUCCUUACCGGGCCGUCGCGCCUUACAAAGAGGAAUGAUUGUUGGUUUUUUUUUUUUUUAAUGAAUGGAGGGCGGCGGCAAGCAGCAGCUGCAGCUGGAUCAGCUGCGCGUGCUGUACCCCACCCGGCCUGGGAAAGAAGAACUAAAGUCUCUUGACUUGCAGAGAAGUAAAUUGAAGCCAUCACCAACAUGACAGGAAGCCUGAAAAUGCUCCUUGUUGUCAGAUAGAAGGUGUCAAGGGGGAAGAAGGGGAACCUGGCAGAGCUGGAUGUCCCUGCCUGUUGUUGUGGCUGUUACUGAUGGAUGAUGCAGAUGAUGAAGAUUUCACUUCAAGUCUCAACACGGUGUUCCAGCAUGGGAUGCAGCAAGGGUGAAGCAUUGGUGAAGAGACAAGCCCUGGGUCAUCCUCUCAAGUUAUCAUUUUCUUCCAACUUAAAAAAAAACUCCCUGAAACCAACAAGCCAGGAUUUGGGAAUAACCAGUUGGUCACUCAGCUCUAGCCCAUAGCAAUUUGACCAAUCUAACUUCCUAGGCCAGAACUGAGGAAGAAGAUGGGGCCAGUCAGAAAACAGACUGCAGCCACCUGGGGAUGACAGAAGCUGGUAGGAGAGUUGUUGAGAGGCAGGUGGGAAACUAGGGCUAGGCAGAAUUAUUUCAUUUCCCUUUAAUUAUAGUUCUACAAAACCCACUUGGAAGCAGAUUGAAUGUGGGAGGCCAGGUGAGCAGCUUGAAGAGCUGAAUGAAACCUUGCCGGUUUAGUUAGGGGAAGAGAUUAGGAGGCUGCAGAUGCCCAUUCUCGUGCCAUUAUUAGAUCAGACCAGAAUUUAGAAAGGCUUCAUUAUCUUUCCAUUUUUCUAAGGUUCUAAUGAAGUGAGAUGAAUUGGGAAGAAGUCAAACUCAGUCUUUCUCUUUUUUAAAACAGUUUAUCUUCCAUCUUAGGACACAUACUGUAUAUUGAUUACAAGGCAGAAGAGGGGUAAGAACUAGGCAAUGGGGGUUGAGUGACUUGCCCAGGGUCACACAGCUAGGAAGUAUCUGAUGUCACAUUUGAACCCAGGACCUCCUGUCUCUGGGCCUGACGGAGAAGAUGGGGUCAGUCAGAAAACAUAUCACAACUUCCUAGGAAUGACAGAAGCUAGUAGGAAAGUUGUUGACAGGCAGGUGGGAAACUAGGGUUUUCUCUACUGAGCCCACUAACUCAAAUUCAAUCUUUUACAUUUUUUUUCAUUUUAUUUUUCAGUUAUCAAGCUCUUAUUUUCUCUCACUCCUACCCUCCCUCCAUUUAAAGGGAAAAAAGGACUCCAAGGGUCCAUGAACAAUCAAGCAAACAGAUUCACACAUUGGCCAAGUCCAAUCUCUAUCUAGAUCCAUCACCUCCCAAACUCUGUCUCAUUAAAAAAAAAAAAUUCCUAUCAUUCAUUCACUCUCUUCUUUAGCAAGAAUGUAUUAAGUUUAUACUAGGUGCCAGGCACUGUGAUAGCCUGGGGGAUACAAAUUAAAAAAGAAAAAAAAGCAGGUCUUAUCCACAAGGAGUUUAUAGUGUACACAGUGUGUGUGUACACAGAAAAAUAAAUAUAAAAUAAUAUGAGGAGGGUCUUGACA
RNAcentral lists this long non-coding RNA (1644 nucleotides) under Monodelphis domestica (gray short-tailed opossum). RNAcentral's name for it is "lncRNA (ENSMODG00000044516.1)". Lineage: Eukaryota; Metazoa; Chordata; Mammalia; Didelphimorphia; Didelphidae. The record is from RNAcentral.